CGGUGAUGUUUUUCCACUUUAGGUGGUGAUGUAUUAUUGUUGUAUUAUAUUGUUUGAUGUUGUGGUCCCACACGCAUGGCGUUCUCGCCUACAUGCGGUGAUGUUUUUCCACUGUUGUGUGGUGUUGAGNNNNNNNNNNNNNNNNNNNNNNNNNNNNNNNNNNNNNNNNNNNNNNNNNNNNNNNNNNNNNNNNNNNNNNNNNNNNNNNNNNNNNNNNNNNNNNNNNNNNNNNNNNNNNNNNNNNNNNNNNNNNNNNNNNNNNNNNNNNNNNNNNNNNNNNNNNNNNNNNNNNNNNNNNNNNNNNNNNNNNNNNNNNNNNNNNNNNNNNNNNNNNNNNNNNNNNNNNNNNNNNNNNNNNNNNNNNNNNNNNNNNNNNNNNNNNNNNNNNNNNNNNNNNNNNNNNNNNNNNNNNNNNNNNNNNNNNNNNNNNNNNNNNNNNNNNNNNNNNNNNNNNNNNNNNNNNNNNNNNNNNNNNNNNNNNNNNNNNNNNNNNNNNNNNNNNNNNNNNNNNNNNNNNNNNNNNNNNNNNNNNNNNNNNNNNNNNNNNNNNNNNNNNNNNNNNNNNNNNNNNNNNNNNNNNNNNNNNNNNNNNNNNNNNNNNNNNNNNNNNNNNNNNNNNNNNNNNNNNNNNNNNNNNNNNNNNNNNNNNNNNNNNNNNNNNNNNNNNNNAUAUAUAUAUAUAUAUAUAUAUAUAUAUAUAUAUAUAGGGGAGGGCUACAGUAAAAACACUUCUUAAAAUAUAAAUAUAAACGUUUUUUAAUGUACGAAUUUUACCCAACAUGGUUACGAAUUCAUCCAACAUGGUUACGAAUUGUGAAAAAUAAAUUUUUGCUACCUUUGAGAUUCGAACCCAGGACCACGAAUUCAUCCAAAAGGGUUACGAAUCAACCGUAGAUCUUGAUGAUCUAAGGGCUGAAAAACAUUUAUAUAGGGAGAGGUUCAAAUAAGAACCACUAAAUAAAAUUAGAACAGAGAACCAUUUUAAACCAUUCGAUCAUCAAGAUCUACGGUGGAUGCAUCAUCUUGGUGGAUGAAUGCAGAUCCUGGGUUCGAAUCCUGAAGGGAGCAAAGAAUUUAUUAUUUUCGGAUGCAUUAAAUUUAAUAGCGAAUGCAUUAAUUUAUAUAGUAGAUGCAUUGAUUUUAAUGGUUCUUAUGUUCUCACGAUCAGUGUGGUUCUCACUAUAACCGCACCCUAUAUAUAUAUAUAAUAUUUUUUAUAAAAGAUAUACUAGUUUUUAUUAAUUAUUCUAACAAAAUUUGUUCAACCAAUUAAAUAUUGACAAGUGUGAAGAUAUCAUUGGUCCAUGUUUGAGGAGAGAGUUCUUCAAGGUCCACCAUGCAAACAAUUGCCUUAUCAAUGGUUUUUUUUUUUUCUUUAGUGAUUUGGCAGAGACCUGGUCAACCAUGUUAGAACCGAUAAACCAAGUCUUAGGCUAGUACAAAAAGGGCAAUUAUUUAUAAUUUAUAAAUUAUUUGACUUAUUCCAAAAAUGUAAUUAUUAUUAUUGUGGCUGUUGAGUUGAGUUCCCAAUAGAAUAUUGAGGCACUCUCCCACGCAAACGGUUGCACCGUGCAACUGGUUUCUGAAUGACACUACUUCAAUAUACAAAUGACAAUUGUAGAUUUUCAAGUGUCAUUUGUAUGUUGAAAUAGUGUCAUUCGAAAAUGUUCAAGUAUCAUUUUCCAAAUAAAUAGUGUCAUUCUGAAUACUAGUUAUACGGUGCAAUCGGUUGCACAAGAAUAUUUGUGUAGAAAAUUUUUAAGAGUAUCUUAUCAACACACUAAUAUGAUAGUAGUUUUUUUUUUUUUGACACAUUGAAAAAUACGAGACAAAAAGAUAUAGGAAUCACUUAAUGUGACUUAUUGCUACGUUGCUAUCUAAUUUUAAGUAAUUAUAACUCAGAGAAGAUGGCAAAACAACUCAACAAUUUAGUUUUAUGAAGAAAGUAUUGAACAUUAGUUUGAAGUUUAAUUCUAUGUAAAAUUAAACAUGCCAUUUAUUUUAGAUUUUGUAUCUCUGUAGCUACUAUUUACACUUGUGAAACUAUUCUAUAAUACUAUUUGAAUUUAAAAAAAAACAAAACUAUUCUAUAAUAUUCAUCGAACAUAUUGACGCCCAAUUACACUCUGCCAUAAAUUCUGGGAGCAGAUAACAGUUGGGGACGAUUUGCAAUUUGCGGCGAUUUUGCAGAAUUUUCAUUGGUGGUAUGUAUCUCCUAUUUACGAUUUAACUAAAUGUUUGAGUGGUUCGUUUAAUUCUACAAUCACAAUGUGUUAGUAGUUUAACAAAGAUAGUGGUGAAGCUGAAUUCGUUUACGCUGAUUGUGGAGGAUGGGUAAAUGCCCCACUUGUCUAACCUCAACUUGAUUCGGUUGUGUUGUUGCGGUCUUGAAAUUUAGGCAGACAAACUAGGAUAUAAACUCAUCUAUUGAUCGACAUUGUGUCUGAAUUGCCACUGGUAGAGUAGUUGCCAAAAUGGCUUAGCUUCGACCAACUUUAUUGUUGGGUUAAACUCAUUUAUCUCAUCAAAGGAAAGAAGAUGAUCUCCCACAGUGCCUUUAGAUGCAUCAAGGAAACUAAAGCAAUAUGGAGCCUACUUUGUCUAGUAACUUUUGGUCUUGCUCUAGGACUAAGGAAAAUGGAUACAUAAACAAAAAUUACUUGUUUCCCCACAAGUGCAGCUAAUCAAAUGUUAUUAUUGUUUAGCUAGUGGGGCAGCUAAUCAAAUUGAGCUAUUAGAAAAGAAGUGGUAAUGGAUGAUAGUGAUGGUAGUGUGAUUGAGCAGAAGAGAAGUGGAGUUGUCAUCUGUUGUUAGUACUGUUCAGAAUCAGAAGAAAGUUGUCUGUCAUUACCAGAGCCUGACUCUUAGUGAAUUGAACACGAGAGAGACCUCAAAGAUGAGAGAAUUUGUAUUUUUUAUCGUCUGCACAUAAUGACAAAGGUCGACAUGAAUGCUACAUAUCAAGAAGUGAUUUGGUCGAUCUUCCUACAUACUAUUCAUGUUCUAGAGCACUAGUAAUGGAUGAUAAUGUUUAUAGAAGAAAAGGAUAUUGAUCUUGAGUUUGCUUCUAGAUUGCCAAGGAACAGAAUAUUGUGAAGGUGAUUUAUGUAGGAGUGUAUCAUGGGAAUGAAUUGAUUUUCAAUUUUGUUAAAUGCCAUUCCACUAGCUUGUAAAAGACCCUUGGCCUUGCAUAGAUUUCGUUUCAUAACAUUUCCUCGACAAUUAGUUGUGAAUGCAAAUGUCAACCAUUUAUGCUUCAAACUCAGAGCUCAGUUAAUGUGUAGCUGAAUUUGUAGUCUACUCUGCUACUCUGUAACUAGCUUGAUAUAACUUCACUACAAUCUGGAUUCUUUUGAGAGUUAAAUGCGGUCUAUCUAGUUUUCAUUUCUAUAGCUUUACUGCCUUGAACAAAUGUGUUGCGAUUCGCAGUUAUUUGAACAAUCAAUUGACGAUACUCGUGAAGAUUGUUUUGUGAUCUUGAUGUACUUGUAAGAUUCCAUAUCAUGACUGAGAGUCUCUGAGAUUUGGAAUUUGAAUAUACCAGUUGAUAUUUAGUAUCAGCAUUUUUACAGACUGCUAAAUGUUCCUGCUUACAAUCUUGCAAACUAGUUCUAUUUACUCAACAUGGUCAAGCUUAUCUCUUAUGCACAUUAGUAGAUGAUGUAAAAUAAUUUUACCACAUCUCCCUCGAGCUUUGCCUUUGCAGGUGAAGCAAAAAGGUAACUAAUGAGCCAACAGCUUCCCUCUUCACCUUCUUUACCAUGACACUUAAGCACCCACUAACUGUUAUAUCCGAAUAUUCUGGUUGAGGAUCUGCAUUGAUAUUAUUCUAAGAUUAUACAACGCAUACUUGAAGUAAAAAAAAANCACUAAAAACUUCUACCCAUGAAGAUGUCUAGGUGUAACCGGAAUGAAAGCAGAAAAUAUUAGCAGAUGAUAGUCGUGAGUCCCAACAGAAAAGUCUUGCAUUCUUAUGUAGAAUAAAAAUGUUGUGGUUUUGCUGUUUCCAUUUAUGCACUUGGUUUGCUGAUCUAAUCCACUUUGCUUACUGAUCAAAAUAACGCCAGUCGACAAGAUAAAUAUAGCAUACGGUAGUAACACUAGUUAUAUGAUUCCAAUGAGAUAAAUGAAGACAACGUUGGUCUCCAUUCGCCUCUGGUGGAAGUUACUUCUUCUCAAAGGAAAUAUUCAACAGAAAAAGAGUUGGCUCAAUAAUAUAUACUGCUGUGGUUAAAAUAGAAACCAUCUUUUUAGCUGGAUACAUUAUACUUAGCUCAUAUUUUCUUUGGAUGCAGCAAAUCUCUAUUCUCCGAUUGCAUCACAAGCCAAUGGAGAGAGAUGUGGUGGGCCAUGAUCAAGUUGAAUUAUUCCUGCUUUCUAGUCAUUCAACACUAAACAGAAUCUCCAUCUUUAGAUUCUCAUAUAAUGUUUUCUUGGCUGGUGGUGGUGUUUUUUUUACCUGCAGAAAUGCGUAAGACCACUUGAUUAAUGUCAUGGAGAGCUGCUUCUAAAUUUGCUCACUCAAGACAAGAGUUGGGGCUAGUGGAUAACCUACAUAAAAAGUAGUAAAUGAUACACCACUUUUUUUUUCAUUUCAUUUUUAUGUUAGUUAUGCAGAAUCUUGGCUUUACAUAUUUUAACACCUUUUUUUUAAAUCCUCAUGUUAAUUAUCUGUUAUUGCUGAAAUAAGCCUGCUUAGAAUGUAAAUGCUACAAAAGUAGGAUUACACCUUUUUUUUAAAUCCUCAUGUUAAUUAUUUGUAGGCUAUAUAUUGAAGAUACUAACAGUUACGGAUCUUCAUAAAUAAAUAGAUAAAAGAAAGGGGUAAUUACACCAAAACACAUGAACUUUGGCCCGUUUUCAAACUUUUCCAUGAACUUUAAUUUUUGCCUUCAAUUCCCUGAAUUUUAAAGUAUUGUUCAAAUUUUCCACAUUUUUCAUAAAUCCCCAAAUUGUAAGUUGACAUGUCAAUUUUUAAAUCACCUGAUAAAUGACAUGGCAAUGUCGGACGGCAAGCAAAACGACGUCGUUUAGUUGGGGAAUAGAACGACGUCGUUUUAUCCCAAACCCUUCUCUCUCUCAACUACACCCAACGCUCUCACAGACUCCGGCGGCUUCGCCGACUCUGACAGCUCGAUUUCAGCGGCAUCUCCUACAAACACUCGAGAGUGUCCUCAAUCAACCUCUCCAAUCAUCAUCUCCAUGUCGAUUUCUCCAAACUCAUCAAAUUUCUCCUCUCCCUUCAGAAUCUCGAAUCACUCAGUGCUCAAAAACGCUAACAUCUUCGGCACCAAUUCCGAAAUUCUCGUGCACAAUAUCGAAAAUGAGAUUUCAGGGCCCGUUUUUGAUGUUUCAGUCGUCGGCCGUUAAAUUUUACAUACGAUGGGGAUCUGAGGGAGAUAGGAUAGAGGCGGGGGAUGGGGACAUGUAGAUUCAAUUUUAAAAUGAAUACAAUGAUGUUGAUUUGUGGGAGGCUUUAGAAAGGGGGUCUACGGAAUUCUGUGGGCCUUAGAUGCUGAGGUUGAUAAAUCUUUUCUGCCUCUAUUUUUUUUUUCACAAUCUGAAUCCUUGAUCCAGGUAGAUUCUUUAUUUGUGCGACGGCACCAUCAUGAAAUUAAGCUAUUAGAUUGAGUUUCAAGAUUUCCCCAUAAAAGGGCUUUUGAUGCUUGUUUCUUUAGCUUCAUUCUUGUAACUUUUAUUUUGCUUAAUUCUGAUGCGUGUCUCAAGGUCUCUGAAGCGAAAAUGGCGGCGGAGAGGAGGAUCCCGACGAAGAUGGUGGCGGACAGGAGCGACAUCGAGAGGGAGUGGACGACGGGGAGGGGGCCCAGGGGGAGGGGGCGGCGGUGGCGGGAGAGGAGCAGGUAGGCGGCGAGCGGCAGUAGGUGAGGAGGGGUGAUGAGAAUGGCAGUUUGGGGAAGAUUGAUGAUUUUUUUUUUUGUUUACUAUUAUUUUUUGAAUCUUCCAAGUGUCAAUUUUCCAGUCGAAGUAGACGCCAUGUCAUCUCGAUAGUACCAUGUAGGCGCCAAGUCAGCUUGGUACUCGUCGGAGCCCAAAAUUGUGAAAAAAUUGAACAACACUUUAAAUUCAGGGAAUUGAAGACAAAAAUUAAAGUUCAUGAAAAAGUUUGAAAACAGGCCAAAGUUCAUGCGUUUUGGCGUAAUUAACCCUAAAAGAAAAGAUGAAGCCGGAAUUGAUAAGGCGUGCAUCUUCCUUAAUUAUAAAACUUGGUAAAGUUCCAUCAUUAUUGGAUUUAGGUAUUAUUCCUUCAUUACCAAAUAUUUUACCGUAUGUUAUGACUGGAUAUCAAAAGUUGAGAUUAGCUAUGGAUAUUUUUGGUAAUGUUGGCUGCAAUCGCUCUGGAAACAGCAAAUAGGCGUAGCUAGCUAUUUGUUAGCUAUCCCAUAUUACAUUAAACGCUCCAAAAAAUAUAGCGAUGCACAUGUAUAUAUUGAUGAGAUUAAUACCAUUUAUAAUCUCUUUUUUUUAUAUCGGAUAAAGUUAUGUUAGAUGUUAACAAUUAGUUCCCCAAACACUCCAAGAAUUCACCAAGCCCACCUUAUCUUUCCAAUCACCAAAUUCGCUCUUAAAAGAGAUCGAACCCGGGUCUCAUCACUUAAGUGAGGACUCAGUGGCCAGGUGAGCUAAGCCCCCUGGUUAAUAUAUUUAUAAUCUACCUAAAAAAUUCUAAAAUAUAAAAUUAUAUGGCAUUUAUCAUAAUUUAAUCUUGAUAGAAUCCCAUUCUCAAUUCGUACACAAAAGAAUUUACUAAGGAAGUACAAUAAAUUAAGAAAAAAUUAUUGAGUGUAUUGAGAGUUGAGAAAAGAUUAUUGAGUGUAUUGAGAAUGGCGAAAAUGUGUUUCAAUUAGUAUAGAAUGUGGUGAAAACGUGAAAAGUGAGGGUGAUCUUUUGUGAGUGGAGGGAGUAUAUAGUAUUUUUUUUAAUUAAAUUUUUGUGAUAAAUAUUAGUUAGAGUUUAUUAUAUAAUAAUAUUUUUUAUUUUAUAAUAAAUAAUUAUAAAAUAGAAAGUUUAAAGUGGAACAUAAUGAGACAUAUUAAAUUAUGGAACAUAGAAUCUCAUCCGUAAAAUGCUUAUUUUACAAAGUUUAGUUUAGUUUAGUUAGGCUGAAAAAAAUACAGACGGUUUCUUUUUUAGCUCUUUUUUGUGUUUGACGUCACUACAUAUAUCAUAUGUGCAUAUAUAAUCUUCACAAGAGUUUAGUCUAGUAUAAUUACCACGUAAGCUUUCAUUAAAUUCGCACAAGACAAAAUGAAUGUUAAAGGAAUAAAAAUCGGACCCCCUUCCCUCCUUUCAAAAAAAAAUAUUUGAUAUAUUUAAAAGUUAAAAUAUAAAUUUCUGUAUUAAUGUAUCAAAUCCAAAAUCAUUCUUUCUCCAAGUUCUUUGAUUUUUUUUUUUUGAGGGACAUUCUUUCUCCAAGUUAAUUAAUCAUUGUUGAUUUGUUGGUCCAUCUUUUUUCUUUUCCUUUAUCAAUUUUCACCAAUAAGUGUCAACAUUAGAAGCCUUCUGCCGUAUUUGGCAUUUCCCUGUGCUUGGAAUUUUCAAUCUUAACGAGAUUCAAAGUCACACAUUAAACAUAAAUAUAUAAAGACUAAGCUAAGCUGGGUCAAGGAAUAUUACAUAACAACACUAUUAAUCACACACAUAUAUAUAUAUGUUACACUUGAACUGAACUGAAAAUGAUACACUUAAACUGGCCUUUAAAGUAGUCUAAACUAAGCCGUACACAAGCCAUUAGGGGCAACAGCAAAUGAAACUACUUUAUAUAAUUGAAUUUAAGUUAAUUAGUUGUAAAUAGAAUGGAUUAAAUUUUCAGGUAGAAGUAGUGAUGAGGAUGUCAUUUUUGAGGUCGAAAUUGUCUCCGCGGACGAGGUGGGGAAGAGCCGGAACAAUUUCGGGGCAAACCAGUGCACUGAGAGUGACAACGUCGAUGAUUUGGUCUCUCUUUUGGCCAUCCACUUGUAUCUCAGGAAGCUUCUCUGCUACCGCCUUUUUCGCACCCUUGUAUAUCACAUAGAGCACCAUUUGAAUCACUCCGAAGCUGAAUCCCAGCACAUUUGGAAUCUAUACAACAAAAUAUUAAUCAAAAUCAUGUUUACUAAUUACGUUCAUCAUAUAUAUGUAUAUACUCACAGCAAUGUUGUAGUCCUUGCGCAGUAAGCCGUAGAAGAACCACAUGACAGCGCUUAUGGUGAGGAAAAAUGAGAGAAGAAACGGCAUGUAUUCCACGCUCUUGGUUCGUAUCACUUGUCUCUGAGGAAAAUUAAUAUAUGUAUAAUACUUCAUUAAAGAGUUAAUUAAUAAUUAAGCUAGAAAGUGAUGAAGAGAAAAAUGAACUCACCACGAUAAAUAAAGGGGCGACGAAGACACAUAAGGAGAAAACGAGGCAGAUCCACCCAACAAUGUUGGCACGUGUGGAGCCGUUUGCGAGAAAAUAAGUGAGCGCAACAAUUAGGCUCAUGCCAAGGAUGUUUAGAAGAAGAAUGAGCAUCCCAGUUUGCAGCUGCAUGCAUAUUAAUUAAUUAAUCAUAUAAUUGAAAGUAAAAAUAGAAAUUGCAAGUAGGUAGGUACCCUAGCACGUUUGGGGGCAUAAUAGAGAUAGAAACAAAUGUAAGCUGUCUGAACGAAACAGCCAACGGAAUUGAUGGUGAUGAGAAGGGUAGUAUCGGUCUUGAGCAGAGCAUAGUAUAUCCACAGCAUCGCGCUGAACAGCCCCACUACAUAUGGUACAGAUUGGAAUCCUUCCGUUGAUUUUUUCUUGUAUAUCUGAAUAAAUGUUGGUCUGCAUAUUUAUAUAUGAAACAUCGUUACUCACAAAGAAUUUAUGACUACAUAUGCAUAUCUAUGUAUAGCUAGUGAUGACAGAAUAAUUUAGGACAUGCAUGCAUGUCUUGUAUAUAUAACGAUCACCACGAAUGUAUAUAUGUAAUUCUAUCACUUGUAGUUUAAUAAUUAAUUAAUUUCUUCUUCGUCACAUAUAUCUUCAUUCGUUAAGUUGGAACUGCUCAAUUGUAAAGAAUCAGAGAGGGACUUACACUGGUGCAAGGAAAACCAUAAAGGAGACGAGAUUGCCUGCAAAAAAAAUAAAUUAUUUAUGAGUGUUGUGUAUAAUAUAUAAAUGGCGAAUGCUUAUGCAUAUGCAUGGAGAUGUAUUUUACGUAGAAAGAUAGUUAUGUAAUACUAACUAGCUUCUUUUUGCUACAUGUAUAGCCUUUUUGCCCCUACUCGAGAUUUCUAUGUAGCAUGAAAAUGCAUGGGAAACACGUGACAUUAAUUAAAAAACUACAAGAAUUUGAUAAUGAAAAUGAAAAAAAGCGAGAUAAUUAAUGAAGAUGCUGUACCCAGAAGGCCGAAGAUAAAAUCCAAGUAACUCAUCUUGAAUUUGGAAAGAAAAUGAAAUUUGUGAUCUCAACUUAAAAACGAAAUGCUUCAACUACGAGUAAGAAUGAUGGAGCAGCAUCCAUUUAUAUAGAGCUUAGCUAGGAAGUGGGGUGGAAAUGGAACUAUAAAUUCAUUAAUUUGAAUUGCAAAUUAAAACGAGUGGUGGGAGGGUUGAAAACCUCAAUUGUUUUAUUCUUUACAGUUGUGCAACACACAAAAGAGUGGUGAUCCUUACCCCAUUUAACAUAAUUGGGUAAUAUGUGCAUUGUUUCUCCCAUGAUCAAAAUUGGCUGUGUUUUGGCAGAGCCCCUAAAAUCAGUGGGACCCACGCAGGCUCUUUCCGACGUGUCACCCACCCAUCCAAUUGGGUUUAAGGCUUACAACUCAUACUUACAGUUUCUGGUAGUGUUUGAUGGCUGAACUCGUGAACCCUAGAUGUGCUCCUAUUCAGCAAACCCCAAUUCUGGUACAAACCAAUCAUCUCCUGCCACCUCAGCUUUUGUGUGCAUUGUCUAAUGUUCUUCAAAUUUCCCUUUCUUUUGUCAAACAAAUUAUUCUAGAAUAUUGAGUGAAUGGGAAGUACUCCCUCCCAUUAUUGUUGACCUAUUUCUUUUGGAUAUAUGGAUAUUUAGGAGAGUAAGAUUGCAAUGUAAAAAAAUGUAUAAACGUGUGUGUGAUCAUAUUGUUUGAAAUGUAAAAUCAUUACCAAAAAUAAACACAUGCUAAUAUUAAUGGGACACAUCAAUAAGGAAAACAUGUCAACAGUAAAUGGGACAGAGAGAGUAAUUAUAUAUCAUGCCGACCUACAAUAAUUAAUUAACAUGAUCUAAGAAUAAGAGUAAUCUUGUUAGUGUGCGUGUGUUAGUCUAAUGGAUUAAUAUCUAAGAUCCAUGAACACAUAAUUUCUAGAAUUAUUUAUUCUUACACCCAGAAAAGUGUAAUUUUGCUAGCGGCACGAGUUAUUUUUUUAAGUUCCGCUUUAAUAAUCGCUCAAUUCAUUAAUUUCCCACGCACAAAUUUAUAUUGGCAACUAAUUAAGAUGUGACCUCUUUAAGAGUUUUAAAUUUGUAAUGUCUAAAUUGGUUACAUUGAUGCUAAUUGGACGUAAUAUAUCCAGACAUAAUGAGGUUCGCAGGUCUACUCAGACUUAGAUUUACUGCUUAAUCGAAUACUACAUAAUAUUCAGAGUUACUGUUUUACCCUUCACUUGUUUUGGCUCCAAUUUAAUGUAUUUUGGCUCUCUGUUCCCUCCCACAAAUUAAUCCGGUUCACACCUAUUCCCUCCAUUUUCCAACUAAUUAAGAAAUGUUUAUUCACAGUAUAUCUUAAUUCAAAUUAAAUACUUAAGUAUGUGACAUAAAGCAAAUCGUCCCACUCAUGCAUUAAGAUUUAUUUCGACUAAUAUAAUACUCCCUCCGUCCGCCAAAAGUAUUCCACUUUGGCUAGGCACGGAGAUUAAUAAAAUGUGUGAUGAUGUUGAUGUAGUGGAGAAAGGGCCCCACCACUUUAUGAGAUGUGUGGUUGAGAUUGAAUUUGAGGUGGGUUUUUUGUAAAUAAAGAGUGUUUGUAAGGAUAAAAUAUAAAGGUGGAUGGUGGGACCAUGGCUUAAAAAGGAAAGUGGAAUACUUUUUACGGACGCCAAAUAUAGUAAUUGUGGAAUACUUUUGGCGGACGGAGGGAGUACCAUUUAUUCAUUUAUGUCUAAACAUAUCUGGUCUAAAUAGCAUUAUUGAUAGUAAAUGUUGUUAACAACUUUUUUUGUCGUUUCUUCAUAAUUUAAUUUCAUACUCGGAAUUUGAUGUCCUACGAGUAUUUAUAUGAGUUUUGGGAGAGCUCGCGUGAUUGCAUACCUUCUAUAUGUUUCUAUACAACUUUUGUAUGAAGAAAAAAGACAACCGAUAUAGAAUGACCUGAAAAUACGAGUCUCGAUCGAGUCCCAUUUUGCAGGUGGGCCCCGGCUUCUUACAAAUUUAUAUGGGAUCAAAAAAUUACGACUUUCCCUAUCUAUAAGGUUAACGGUCUAUUAAAAAUAAAUUAAAUAGUGUUCUUUUCUCUCAUGUAAUAGGAGUAUAAUAAAAGUUUGUAUCAGCUUAAAAAUUAACUAAUGAUGAGUAUUUUAUUACUAUUAUUUUUCGAAAAAUGAUGAUCAAUCAAUGUUUAGGUAAAUUGGGGUUUCCUUCACGUCAAUAAUAAUGCCAGCAUAAGACCAAACCAGCUUGCCCGACGCACUAUAUAUGAUGUUCAGUAAUCGCCUCCAAUUUGUUCUCUCAUAUCUACUAAAUAUCAUUCAUUAAUUAUUAAAUUGGUUACAAUUACAUUGCACUUUCUAACAAAUUAUAAAUCUAUAUGACUAUAUGUAGUUGGAAGUUGUCACCAUCACUCAAUUACAUUUGUACUCUCAAACAAAUUAAUAGUAUCUUACCUAGUGUUUAGCUUUUACAUUUUAUUUUGCGAGUUUCAAAUUAAUUUCAAGAUUUGAAUGCUUUCUCCAGCUAAGAAAAUGGAUAAAUCAUACUUGUGGUUAGCUGUAUUGGCAUUUUGUAAUAAAUGGUACGGAUAAAUUUGGUUUUUUAUCAUCAUUUUAGCUCGUACUUUGUUAGACGACCGGCCGGAUACACAUAUGCUAAAGACUAUACUCCAUUUAUUCAGGAUAUCGUUUCCACUUUGUGGACGACAUAUAUUUUAAAAAAAUAAUAGAUAGUACUUAGUAAUAGUAGGUAUUGUUGUUAAUGCAGUUUGGAUUCCACUAUUAUUGUGACUUGUGAAUGCAAUUUGUGGACCCUACUGAUAUAAAUAGAAGUGAAAAUGAUAUUAUAAUGAAUCACUACAAGAACCUGGCCGAUUACCAACGAAAUUUUUCGUCGCUAAAUCCAUAAAAUCCGUCGGUAAAGUCAGAUACCGACGGAUCACCGACGGCCACCGUGCGUCGCCGUAAAAGUGGUCGGUAAAAAAUUUACCGACGAAUUUUUUUUCGUCGCUAAAUACCGACGGAAAGGACGAUGGACCGUCCGUAGGCGAGUACGCGACGACGCCGGCGUCGUCUGAAAUCAGCGACGAAAAUGACCGUCGGCAUUAGCGACGGAAUUUUUUUUACGAAAUAAUAAUAAUAAUAAUAAUAAUAAUAAUAAUAAUAAUAAUUUUACAUUAAAAAAAUAAUUUACUAAUAAUUAAAAUUGCAUUAAAAUAAAGAUCCUAAAAAUUACAUUAAAAAAAAACUAAAGACAUAAAUUAAAAAUUACUUAAAUCCUAAAAAACAUAUUUAAAACUAACAUUAAAAUAUCUAAUUUCAAAGAAAAGAAAAAAGAAAAGAAAAAAGAAGAGAAAAUGGGUGAUUCUCGGGUAUACUCGAACAAACGAGUAGCCCUCGAGUAGGCAAGCCCUGCAUUAAGCUACUCGAUGCUUGGGCUACUCGAGUAUGGGGCAUCGAGUAGCCCGUUGCAGAUGCUCUAAGACGAACUUCCCAGUGGGUCACCCAUCUUAGUUGUGCUCUAAGUCAAGCACGCUUAAUCUUGAAGUUCCUUUCGAGUAGUCACUAGUACAGAACACGCGUAUUAUUGAUAUAACUAGCACUUAUUAAUUCAUUUAAACUCUAUUUCAAUACAAUAUCAUUUAUUCAUAAUCUUAGAAUAUGUCGAGAUGAUAUCUAAGACUUGUGGUGCCGAUGAAAAAAUGACGGCAAAUAUACGAUCGAAUUUAAAAUAAUUAAAAAAAUAUUUUUGUUAAUUAAAAAAAGAAAAUAUUAUUGUUGAAAAUAACAAUAAAUUUUAAAAUAUUCUCAAUAAUUUAAAAAUAAUAAUAAAAUAGAAUAUUAAUUAAAAUAUAUAUAUAUUUUAAAAAAUAAAAUAAAAAUAACAAAAAAAUUAAUAAUAUUUACCGAUGGAUUACCGACGGCUUAAUUAAAAAAAUAAAAAAAAUAAAAAAUUAAAAAAAAAUAAAAAAUAGUAAAAAUAAUAUUUAACGACGGAUUACGCUCCGUCGCUAUUCGGUCGAUAAAAUUUAAAAAAUAAUUAAAAAACAAACUAAAAAUAAAAAAUAAUAUUUAACGACGGAAUAUUUUCCGUCGCUAAUUAAUAAUUCAUUCGGUAUACUUUUAAAAACAUCUUCGUCGGAAUUCCGCCGUUGUUCCGUCGUUGAUUACCGACGGAUUAUUUUCCGUCGGUAAUUCCGUCGGUGUCAGGUAAGUUUUUUUGUAGUGAAUGGACGAAAAUAAUAAAAAUAGAAAUGAUAUCAUAGACGAAUGGAGUAUAAUUUAUUAAUUCAUGUGCCAAAAUGGUAUAUAUAUUUCGGCGUACAUUAGAUAAAUCAUGUUUUUGCAUAAUAACUUGGAAACUCCGUAAACCGAAUAAAUUAUAUUCCCUCCGUCCGUGAUAUCGUUUCCACAUUUGCUAUUUCAAUCCGUCCGCAAUAUCAUUUUCACUUCUAUUUAUAGAAGUUGGGUCCACAAACUUCAUCUCACAACAAUAGUGGGACUCGAAUUUCACUCACUACAAUAUCCACUACUAUCCACCACUUUUCUUAAAACCCGCUCGUCCACAAUGUGGAAACGAUAUCGUGGACGGAGGGAGUAUUAGAAAAUCAAAUGUAAGAGGCUCAGACUAAUUAUAGAGAUUUUUAUUUUGAGGCGGAGGUAAAAAAAUAAUAAUAAAUAAAUAAUAAUUCGUGAAAAAUAAUUCGAAAGAGGAGUAUCUAUUCUACAGGCCAUAAUAUUAAUAUGUGAAAAUUAAGGUUGACGGGAUUUUAAAUCGAGUAGAAGAGAUAGAGCAGAGAGAAUAUUUGUAAGACAAUUGACGGAGAAAAUUUAAAGCAUUAAAGAUUGGUGAGUAUUGUUAAGGGACUUACACAUGGAAUUUUGAAGAUUGUGAUUAUAUUCUUACAUCCUAUUCGUGCAGAAUUUAAGGCAAAGUGUGACAAAUAUAUUCAACAUCUGUCGCUCAACAUGAGCGUACGUAGUGUGUGCUGCAACCAACGUAAAUGGUCUCUAAUAGCUAACACAUCUAAAACCACAGCUUUUCAAUAAUAAAAUUGAUUUUGUAAUUAACACUAUAUAAUGAAUAAUAAUGUUGCGUUUUUACUAUUACUAACUAGUCGACAUUUACAUGUUUGAUACACCGGUAUUAUUUAGGGGUUAUUGCCGGAAAAUAUAUAUAUAUGUAGUUUGUCAAUUUUCUGUUUAUAACAUGACCUUAUAAUUUGACAGAAAAUACACUAAUUUUCAAUUUAAUUGAAUUAUAACAUGACUUUAUAAUCUGACAAGAAAAUACACCAAGUUUCAAUUUAAUCUCAAUUAUAACAUGACCUUAUUUAGAUUAUUGUUCAUCAUAGAUGUAUUAAUAUUUAUUGUAACUUCAUAUUAAAUUGUUAUGUAUAAAAUAUUGUUAAUUGAUUGAUUUAUUUUUAUAAAAAUUAAGUUAAAAAUAUAUUUCUACAUUUUCAACACACAAAAUGCAUAUAUAUAAAUUUGAUUUUAAUAUUCUAUUAAUAUAUUACAUAUAUAAUAAGUAUUUAACUAUUUAAAUUAUGAAAUUAUAAAAUAUUAGGACCAAUAAAUAAUUUAGGUACAUAUAUAAUAGGAACUAUGUUAAAAAGUAAAUAAUAUUAUAUAUUAUUACAUAUUCAUCAAAUAUAUAUAUAUAUAUACANUAAAUAAUUUAGGUACAUAUGUAAUAGGAACUAUGUUAAAAAGUAAAUAAUAUUAUAUAUUGUUUACAUAUUCAUCAAAUAUAUAUCUAUAUAGUAUACACUAUAUAUAUAUAUAUACAUAUAUAGUAUAUUGUGAGAUGAAAAGAAAAUUAAAAAUAUUUAAUGUUAAAUUUUUAUAUUAUUAUACUAAAUUAAUUAUAAAGACAUGUUAUAAUUACAAUUAAAUUGAAAACUGGUGUAUUUUCUGGUCAAGCUACAAAGUCAUGUUAUAAUUGCGAUUAAAUUGAAAAUUGGUGUAUUUUCUGGUCAAAUUAUAAGGUCAUGUUAUAAACAAGAAAAUUGACAAACUACAUGUAUUUUCUGGCAAUAACCCCUAUUAAUUAUAUCUUCAAAGAUGCUAAUGAGGCCUUGUUCUAGUGAUAAAGUUGAGGCACCCAAAGACUCUUCUUUGUGAGAGGUCUUGGGUUUAAUCCCGUCUAUGUGCGAUGAUAUUUUCCCACUUUAGGUGGCGCUGUAUUCCAGCCUGCGUGCGAUGUUGUAUUAUUUGGUGUUGAGGUCCCACACGCAGGGCGUUUUUCUCGCCUGCGUGCGGUGAUGUUUUCUCACCGUUCGGGUGGUGAUAAGGUCCCGCCUGUAUGCAGUGAUGUUUUCCCACGGUUUGGGUGGUGAUAAGGUCCCGCCUG
This 15719-nucleotide long non-coding RNA is filed under the name Salvia miltiorrhiza (redroot sage). RNAcentral describes it as "long non-coding RNA (SMIL_LNC005862)". Lineage: Eukaryota; Viridiplantae; Streptophyta; Magnoliopsida; Lamiales; Lamiaceae. The record is from RNAcentral.